Non-coding RNA from Podarcis lilfordi (Lilford's wall lizard), 120 nucleotides. Lineage: Eukaryota; Metazoa; Chordata; Lepidosauria; Squamata; Lacertidae. The record is from the annotation of a GenBank genome assembly.
ACCUUAGAGACCAACUAAGUUUGUUAUUGGUAUGAGCUUUCAUGUGCAUGCACACUUCUUCAGAUACCCUGCAUGCACACGAAAGCUCAUACCAAUACAAACUUAGUUGGUCUCUAAGGU